CACGUAGGUAACCUACCCUCAGGACUGAGAUAACCCCGGGAAACUGGGGCUAAUAUUAGAUAGAUAAAAGAUACUGGAAUGUUCUUUUAUCCAAAGCUUUUGCGCCUGAGGAUGGGCCUGCGUCCGAUUAGGUUGUUGGUGGGGUAAUGGCCCACCAAGCCUACGAUCGGUACGGGCAGUGAGAGCUGAAGCCCGGAGUUGGGGACUGAGACAAGGCCCCAGGCCCUACGGGGCGCAGCAGGCGCGAAACCUCUGCAAUGCGGGAAACCGUGACAGGGGGAUCCCAAGUGCUCAUGCAUUGCAUGGGCUGUUCUUUGGUCUAAGUAACCAGAGGAGUAAGGGCUGGGCAAGACCGGUGCCAGCCGCCGCGGUAAUACCGGCAGCUCAAGUGGUAGCCGCGAUUAUUGGGCCUAAAGCGUUCGUAGCCGGAUAAGUAAGUCUUUGGUUAAAUCCUGCGACUUAACCGUGGGAAAUCUAGAGAUACUGCUUGUCUUGAGACCGGGAGAGGUUGGAGGUACUCCCAGGGUAGGGGUGAAAUCCUGUAAUCCUGGGG
Molecule: ribosomal RNA, 553 nt
Filed under: uncultured archaeon
Lineage: Archaea
Description: bacterial SSU rRNA
Rfam family: Archaeal small subunit ribosomal RNA
Source: RNAcentral